AGCCGGGUCCCGCGCAACGGACAUCCGUGAACCCCGUCAGGCCCGGAAGGGAGCAGCGGUAACGGUUUUGGACGUGUGCCGCGGGGGUGCCUGGCUGUC
Malonomonas rubra DSM 5091 is the source of this 99-nucleotide non-coding RNA. It matches the Rfam family "Bacterial small signal recognition particle RNA". Rfam says of the family: The signal recognition particle (SRP) is a universally conserved ribonucleoprotein involved in the co-translational targeting of proteins to membranes. Archaeal SRP consists of a 7S RNA and homologues of the eukaryotic SRP19 and SRP54 proteins. The record is from Rfam. NCBI's taxonomy places the organism in Bacteria, Pseudomonadati, Thermodesulfobacteriota, Desulfuromonadia, Desulfuromonadales, Geopsychrobacteraceae.